Molecule: non-coding RNA, 75 nt
Organism: Myotis davidii
Lineage: Eukaryota; Metazoa; Chordata; Mammalia; Chiroptera; Vespertilionidae
Source: Rfam
GGCAGUUCUCAGGUGACUCACCCCAAAAUGAGGCUCCCUCCUCUCUUCUUCUGGGUGCCUUACUUGAGAACCGCA